CACAGGGAGAGGUCCUGCAUCAUCCCAGCUGAGGCCAUUCUAGAUCAGCCAGCCACUAACCAACUCUCAGGCUGAGUGUAGACGCAUGAGCAAGCCCAGCUGAGCUCAGUGGAGACCAGUCCAGAUCAGCAGAAAUGGCCACACAAACCAAGGACAGGAAGAUCAUUCUCAAGCCUGCUAUACCCAGGAGGAGGAUGAGAGACAGAUGGAGCAGACACCCCCGGUCAGAUCCAGAUGCCUAGUUUUAUACUAUCACAGGCAACUUCUCCAAAUGGAAUCUUUUGAUGUAGGACCCAUCCUUUGGUUUCAGAUAAUACUGAGCAGCUCAUUGAUUUCCAGGCUCCAAAUUUCUGGAGUUGCCUCUCACAACAAGGACAUUGACCUGUCAUUAUGCAGGAAUAUUGCCAGAUUUAUAUAAUAGAAUUUAAAAGUGUGCAUACACUUCAAGCCACUUCUACAUGAGCAGAGGGAAACUAUCCCAAGGGCGAGGUUGGCAGUGAACAUUUCUGUGUCCCCUAACCCCCGCCACCCCACUUUCAUUUUUGCCCUUCUUUCAUCCUUCAAAGUGACCCUAUUCUGCUUUUUAUUUUCUGGAUGCUUGAUGUAAAAGAGGCAUUAUGGUUUUCAUGAUUGAAUAACAGUCACAAAUUUCCAUUUCACUUUACUUACCCGCUUAGAUGUAGUUUAAUGCAGCAUGACUAGAAUUCUCCCAGAGGUGGAUCUGAGCUGAACUGACUAGGUUUCUGACUGCCAACUCUUCUGCACACUAAAAUAGCAGCGUAACCUAUUACACACAUUUGUUAUCUGUUACUAAGAGAAAAUUACCAACCCACCCAGAGAAACAAAAAUACAUCUGAUCAUGGGACUUCUCCAAAGGGCAGAAAACCUGUUAAGUUUUACAUCAGAGUGAGCACGCAGACUCUCAAAGAAAGGUAAAUGUUUCCAAACAACCAAAACAAAAGACUUCAUGGAAGCCAUAUUUUUGUUUUCCAAAUUCAUAAAAAAAAAAAAGUGCCUGGCUUAAAUACUUUACAAGUGGUUAGUUCUAGCUAAGAAUAUAUUUCUCUCAAGUUUGCAAAUAGAUAUCUUUAAGACAGCAAUUCUCUUCAGUAGACAUUUCUUCAGUGUUCAUGUGUACAGAACCCUGUGGAGGACUUAACUGACCUACAGGAGAUCCAAUAACAUCUAAGAGGCCAACCCUGCCCGGAGGAGACUUAGUGUCCAGAGCAAUGUACUACCUCUGGAGUAGGCGCCUCUUAAAUGGGGGUAGUACUUCUCUCCCAUCAUCAAAAAAUCUAGAAACAAUUCAUGAAAUAUUAUUACCCUCUUUUCUCAACAUUAUUCAUCAGCCUUGGGCCUGGCGUUGAUUUCCAUGAUUAAUUUAAGGGGGGGAAGAAAAUAGAUAAAUGGAUGUGAAACUUGUAACUUUGGUUUUGGCCUUUAAUAGUCAGAUAAAGAUUUUGAACAAAGUGGACAAUAAUUUACUGUAAGGAAUAAAGUCCUAUCGAUCUUGCCAUGGAGUAGGAACGAAGGAUUCAGGGCUAUCCAUAUGUAGUCAUUUGGAUAUGACAAGAUUGGAACCUAUUUAUAACUUUUAAAGUAUCUUAUGGCUCUUUCUUUCCAAAGAAGCACACAUCAUAUUGCACGAGGUCUGUGAAUACACAAGCGUUCUCUGACAAAAGCAGCUGAGAAAGCAAAAGGAUUACCCAAGUAUUGUUUUUCAAACCUGAAUUUGUAAUGGGUAAUUAUACAGAAAUAUUUGGUACUUAAUAACCUUGAAACUUUGAAUUCAGAAAGAUUUUAUGCCCCCAAGGCUACAUGGUCUGAUGGUGUAGGUUCAUAAAUCCAAAGAGAAUGGAUCUGGCUAUUGUUAACUGUACCCACCUUUGUGCAGAUGUCAAACAGACCCAGUGUCAGUAACGCCUGGCCCUAGUCCAGUGCCUGCCUGUGGGGGGCGCUCGAUGGUUUGUCAAGCAGAACUAGGUAUGAAUUAUGGCUUCUGUUUAAAUUGGUUUGGAAAAUAAGGAGUCUCCAUUCCUCUUAACCUUUGGUUUCAGUGAAUCACAUAACACCAGAUUAUUAAUAACGCUUUAAUUAUCUCUGGAGUUCAAAAUCAGGGAUAUCCAGGUAUCAUGGCAUACAAAAUGCAGGAAGUUUCAAACCAAGCUAUAAAUUUACUGUUGGAUUGAAUGAAUAAAAGCACACCAGGCAGGAGUUCCAUGGGGUAACAUGGGGAGGGUGGCUGCAUUAUUUUCUCUGGGACCAUGGCAGGGAAGCAUCACAUUUCCAGGAGCCGAGUUCUACGACACAGCUAUCCCAGUGUAGGAUCAGAAUUUCCUUGUAGAGCUCACCACUUUACCUAGUGAACGUUGGAGCUGCUGGCUACCCUCCCAGACACUCUUCUUCUCUCAUCACAGUCCCUCUGGGGUGGGCUUCCUGAAUCCGGGUAGGAAGAGAAGUGUGACAGCCAAAGUCACUCUUUUCUGUAAGUAGCUUCCCCUCACAAAGAUGUUUUGCCUGAGCCUCAUCUAAGUGCAGUAAUUCUUAAGUGACACCAUAAGAUGGAUGUUGAAUAUUAAAAAACACACCUCUGUUUCACGGCCUGCUUUGUUUUUCUAAUUUAUAAAAAUCAUCUUUCAUCGUACCAGUACACAGGGUUCCUUUUAAACCUGUAUUUUACUUAAGCAAUGAGGAGAGAGUGUUUACAGUUUCACUUUCUGGCUCUCAUAUGCCUAUAAAAUAUUUUUGUUAAAUUGGAUUUUAAAAACUUUUUUUUCAGGAAACUUUAGAUUUAUUUCUAUCUCCCAUUGGGGGUUCAAACUUAAAGAAACUGAUGACCUCAAAGGGCCAACCUCAUGCAGAUGUCAGCAAGAUGAAAAACAGAAUUUAACACUCUGCACAAGAAUAUUUGCAUUCCCAUUAGUUUUUGCAAACGCAAUAUAUCUCAUCCUCUUGGGCUGAGUGCAAAGACGCCCUGGAAAGAGGAACAGAAGUAUAUGCCUGUCUAAUAGGUUAACAUACUGAACUGAUUUAAAGGGAAUAAAUGUUGUGGCUCAGGGGAAAUUACUGGGCAAUUCAGUGGGCACUUCUCAUGGAAAUGACUUAAAAGCACAUGUGUACCAACAGUUGGGAAGGGGGAGCGUUCUGUUCACAUUAAAUAUCUUCAUCCAAACCUCAAAUACGACCAUGAUUUUACAGCCUAAUUGAAUGUACUCUUGAUAAAAAGAAGUUGCAAAAAGCUGAUAAAAAAAUAAACAUAUACUGGCUGCACUGAAGUCUGUAUUUCAACAAACGCUUUAAAGGUUUGCUGGUGGAAACCAGUGAUUAUGUAACAAGCGGAUUUCAAAAAUUACACCUCUUACAAUUACUGUACAUCCUGAUAAAACAGUUGAGGUCAAGUCACUAAACAUUCUUCCAAUUCAAAUAGAAGGAAAUAGAUUAGCUCUUUGCUUAGGGGAAAAAAAAAAGAGAGAGAGAAUUUAUGAUGAGAAAUCUGUCCUAAUCUUCCCAAAUAGGGAGGAAUAAGUUAAGGAGCAAACACAAAUUUGGUGACUGUGAGAUGAAGAACUAAUUUAUGCUCGUUUGAAAUAGAAGGCAGUGUCUGAUAGACAGGUGUCUACGAUUACUUAGCUUGG
Molecule: long non-coding RNA, 3635 nt
Organism: Hippopotamus amphibius kiboko
Lineage: Eukaryota; Metazoa; Chordata; Mammalia; Artiodactyla; Hippopotamidae
Exons: 5
Source: RefSeq, a predicted model, not a curated record